CCAGGGUUUGUCGAAGCCACCUGUGACGCCGUCGCUGGCGGAUCCGAUGGGGUCGAACAAGACGAGCAGAGGCGGCGGGGCGACCGCAUCUCCUUGUGCCCGUCUCCGGGACGCCUACCACGACUGCUUCAACAGGUGGUAUUCGGAGAAGUUCUCCAAGGGCCAGUGGGACAAAGAAGAGUGCGUCGCCGAGUGGGACAAAUACAGAGCGUGCCUCGCGCAACAUUUGGAAGACAAACAUCUGAGGCGUAUACUCUUGGAGACAGAAGCUUCUCCAUAUUUUGUUAAAAAUGAUGCAAGCUCCCCUGCAGAUAGAGAUGGCACCACCCACCAGUGACUAUAUAUUCAUGAGGUGCUUCUUGUUCUCCAAGUUUGCACUCAUUAUUUGUGAUAUUGCAUCAUUUGGUCACAAUGAGAAGAUGCGUUGAUUAUGAUAGUGUCGUAACCGUAGCAUGCAAGUGGGUGGAGGUGUAUUUUAGGCUUUGUUCAGAUUUGUCAGCAACAAAUUUUGAUUUACUAGGAUCGGGAAGAUGAAACCGACUCCGUAGUUAAUUAGCCGGGUACUUCUGUUUCUUCUUCUGUUCCUUGCUUUCUUCUUCUGUUGACGGCAGAAGGAAAAUCGAAGAGUGAAAGUUUCACUGGAAGACGGAGAGAUAUCGUCAAAAGGAUUGAGGUCUAUGGGUACAACCAUAUGGUCCUCGGGACGGCCUGUAUUCCUAGCACAGAAGAGCUUGCUUGCUUGCUUGCUAGCUAAAUCUUUCCAGUGGCAAAACUAUGGAGGUCCGGAGAACUUCAAAUGGCAACUGAAGAAAUCAGAGGAAGUCAAAAUGCAGGCAGAUGAUGGUUCUUGCAAUUGUACUAAUUAAUGGAGUGUAUGGCUAAAACUUCCAAGUUUUCUCCAGGCUGCUAAGAUUUUUGA
Molecule: RNA transcript, 919 nt
Organism: Musa acuminata subsp. malaccensis (wild Malaysian banana)
Lineage: Eukaryota; Viridiplantae; Streptophyta; Magnoliopsida; Zingiberales; Musaceae
Source: RefSeq, a predicted model, not a curated record